CUUCCAGGACAUUCCAGAGACAAUCAGACUCUGCCUUCAGGGUCUGCCUCUGGCAUGAUUAGCUUUCUAAUCACUUUGGAGUGUCUUCAGAAGAACAUCCCUUCAUGUGGACUCUGGAAAGGUUUCUUCAAGCAUAAAUCAGUGGCACUUGAAGUUACAUUAAGGUUACAUCUCUCCCAGAUUGUGUGGAAAAGACCAGACGGUCAUCAGGGAAGAAUCCCGACUCAGUGGUUCUGGACCCAAGGAAGCAAGAUUAUUCCAAGGUGUGAAACAAAGGAAAACGGAAUCCCCACUCUGUGGAAAUAAUGUGGUCUUUAUUUGACCUGGAUGUAGCUGGGGUGAAAUCAAGAAAGGAAUUCCACAGAUAUGUUCUUUUUUUGGCGGUAAUUUUGGAAUUCCAGCACUUCACUUUGGAAACGCUACUUGAGACAGGAGGAAAAACGUCUGUCUUCCAUUUUGGUUGAAGAAAAAUGAACACAUUUCUACAAGAAACCAGGGUAGAAAAAUUGAUUAAUGAUUCACCACAACAUCCACUCCUCCCUUUUUUGCCCAGUGGCAAAUUUGUGAUAUUAAAGGGGUUUGUUUGUUUUUUUGAGACAGAAUCACUCUGUCACUCAAGCUAGAGUAUACAGUAUCUGGCUUCAGCCUAGCUCACAGCACCCUCAAACUCUUGGACUCAAGAGAUCCACUU
This is a long non-coding RNA of Nycticebus coucang (slow loris), 691 nucleotides long. RefSeq lists it as uncharacterized. The transcript is spliced from 3 exons. Lineage: Eukaryota; Metazoa; Chordata; Mammalia; Primates; Lorisidae. The record is from RefSeq and is a predicted model, not a curated record.